Parasteatoda tepidariorum (common house spider) is the source of this 5757-nucleotide non-coding RNA. Lineage: Eukaryota; Metazoa; Arthropoda; Arachnida; Araneae; Theridiidae. The record is from RefSeq and is a predicted model, not a curated record.
GAUCAACCUGCAAAAGGAUCGAGGGUGCACCGUAUCAGACCUCUUCUCGUAUCAGACCGUCGCCAUUGUUCAGCUCUAUUGCUACGUAAAUAAAGUACCUACCUUUUAAAGAACCCGAACAAGAGGCAGGCCUAGAGAAUAAAGUGUUGACUACAUUAAUGAGGAUUUCAAAGCAAUUAGAAGAAGGAAGAGUAGAACUAAAAUAAGAUUCGUUAGUACUCGAUUCACAAAAAGCUGUCAAAGAAUUUUACAAUAGAUUCACGUUGAAACAAAACAAACUUUGAUUAAUCUUUACGGAAAAGUUCAUUUCUGAUUUGUUUUGGGAGACAUUUUAGUUUGCCAAGGAUUACCGUAAAUUACAUUUGCUAGAGCUCACUAUUUCAAGGAGGUAUUCAAAAAAAAAAAUUUUCCCUUUUCCAUUGAUCAAAAGAAUGCAUCCAAUUUUUUUCAGUAAUUUUGUAAAAGUUUAAUUCUUAAUGUUAAACCAUUACAUGCCAUCAAACUUUUUCAGUUCUGUUCAACUUAAUUUCUUCGUUUCUCAUUUUUGUUUUAUAAAGCAUGAAAACAUAGUGUAAUAAUGUGUAGUUUAUUUUAAAACUUGUCAUAUUUACAUUUUUAGCAUAAUAUUGGAAGACUUUUGCCUGGGAUGAAUAUAAAUUAAUCCUAAAUUUCUAGAUUUAUACUAAAUAUGUAUCUAAUUAGAUUUUAUGUAAAAUUUCGACUUUUUACGAAAGGAAAAAUAAAUAAUUUAAAAACUCCAUUUUUCUCGCAUUACAAUAAAAUAUAUGAAUACUGUAUACAUAGAAAGCAUUUAGAUCUGGUAUAAAAUUUAAACUUUUAAAUCUAAUUUAAUAUUUUAUUUUAAAAACUUGUUCCAUAUAGCUGAAGAUAGCCAAAUUUCCUUUUAGUAACACCUUAGAAUAUUAAGUUAAUUUUUUAUUUUUCGCAUGCUAGUACAAAGAUACGCAUGUUAGCACAAACAAUACUUCAUCAGGGGACUAUUUUUAAUUUAACCACUGACUAAAAAAAAAGGCUUCAGCAUGUUAGCAUGGCUGUCUCCCCUGAGGAAGUACUGUUUUUUGCUAACAUGCGCAUCUUUAAAAUUUGUUUGGUUUUAAGUUCAAUUCUCCCAUUUUUUUUUUUAAAUUAAAAUUGUGCACUUUAUUUCAAACUAUUGGUUUAAAUAUCUGCAAGUUCCGCGUGAUCGGAUUAGAUGAUCUCGAUUAAUUUAUCAUUUUUGUUAUGUGUUUAGGUGCUGUUUUUUUCUCUUGUAAUUUUCAGAAUUUUCUUACUAAUUGAUAUGCUUCUGAUGAAAUUUCAGAUAGCUAGAACUGAACGGGAUCAAUUUCUUGAUAAUGCCAAGAGCUUGCAGCGCUCCCUAGUGUAGAAAACGCGAUCCAUAAUAUCGGCUUUAAAUAUACUCGUUUAUUCUACCUUAUUGGUUUAUAUUGCUUAAUUUGUCCUUUUGUAUUGUGCAUAGGUACUGCUUUUGUGUCUUGUAUUUUUCAGAAUUGUCUUGCUAUGCUGCUGAUGAACACGUUUCGAGGAGAUAAAACUGUACAGGAUCAUUUUUAGAUAAAGCCUCAGACGAGUCUAUGAACGGAAAAAUUUGAAGACAUUAAAUGACUGUUUUACACACAAAGCAAUGCUCAAUCGCUUUCUUGCUGGCCUAAGUCUCAAAACAUCGUAUUGAUCAACACAUUGUGAUCCAAGUGGCUUCAAAGCACUCCAAAAGCAGUAACCAGGAAGUAUAGACAGUCGGGAGCUUGCUGCGCUCCCCAGUGUAGAAAACACGAUCCAUAAUAUCGGCUUUAAAUAUACUCGUUUAUUCUACCCUAUGGGUUUAUAUUGUUUAAUUUGUCCUUUUGUUUUGUGCAUAGGUACUGCUUUUGUGUCUUGUAUUUUUCAGAAUUGUCUUGCUAUGCUGCUGAUGAACACGCUUCGAGGAGAUAAAACUGUACAGGAUCAAUUUUAGAUAAAGUCUCAGACGAGUCUAUGAACGGAAAAAUUUGAAGACAUUAAAUGAAUGUUUUGCACACAAAGCAAUGCUCAAUCGCUUUCUUGCUGGCCUAAGUCUCAAAACAUCGUAUUGAUCAACACAUUGUGAUCCAAGUGGCUUCAAACACUCCAAAAGCAGUAACCCGGAAGUAUAGACAGUCGGGAGCUUGCUGCGCUCCCUUGUGUAGAAAACAUGAUCCAUAUUAUCGGCUUUAAAUAUACUCGUUUAUUCUACCCUAUUGGUAUAUAUUGUUUAAUUUGUCCUUUUGUUUUGUGCAUAGGUACUGCUUUUGUGUCUUGUAUUUUUCAGAAUUGUCUUGCUAUGCUGCUGAUGAACACGUUUCGAGGAGAUAAAACUGUACAGGAUCAAUUUUUAGAUAAAGCCUCAGACGAGUCUAUGAACGGAAAAAUUUGAAGACAUUAAAUGACUGUUUUACACACAAAGCAAUGCUCAAUCGCUUUCUUGCUGGCCUAAGUCUCAAAACAUCGUAUUGAUCAACACAUUGUGAUCCAAGUGGCUUCAAACACUCCAAAAGCAGUAACCCGGAAGUAUAGACAGUCGGGAGCUUGCUGCGCUCCCUAGUGCAGAAAAAACGAUCCAUAUUAUCGGCUUUAAAUAUACUCGUUUAUUCUACCCUAUUGGUAUAUAUUGUUUAAUUUGUCCUUUUGUUUUGUGCAUAGGUACUGCUUUUGUGUCUUGUAUUUUUCAGAAUUGAUUUGACAGUCUACUUGAUAUCCUGAUGAGGGACACUUAUUGGGAAGCUAAAACUGUAUAGGAAUAAAGAAUCAGACGAGUCUAGGAAGGGCUGCACUAAUUAAAGAUAUGAAUGACUUUUCACAAAAAAUCUUUUGUUUCCUUGCUGGUCUAGUAGGUGAGACUGUAACCUUUAUUUUUAUCUUAACCAAAGCCAUUUCUAUUUAAACUGGAAAUUUGACUGAAUCCUUGGCUUAAUGUAAGAUUGAUAUUCAUUGUGCGCCAGAAUCCUAAGCUUUUCUCUCGAAUAGGACUAAUCUAUUUGGUUUUGACAUAGUCCAGGCUUCUGAGCCACACAAUAACAAAUGUAUAAUGAUGAUUUUAUGAAACAUUUCCGUUUUUCUUUUUUAUUCAUUUCGAAUGCAGAAAAAUUGUUAAUCCUUUAAGGGAACGAUUUCCAGCAGCAAUGCGUUGUUUUAUUUUAACUUUUGUGGGGUCACACUGAUAACAGUAAAUAUUCGAAGAACCUUCUUAUAUCGGUUUAUUAAAUAGUGCAUAGCUUUAAAAUUAAUGUGAGCAUGUUAAACUUUUUGAGCAUCAAGGAUUGUUAACACUGUGAACGUUCACAAUUAAAACUUUCGUGUCUUGCGUUUUUGUCUGAUAUUUACUAAAACCUCCUGACUUUUCGCAAUUACGUUGCGAUGUCGUUGUAAAACACAGAUGAACGUGUUAUGAAACGGAAAAUUUCAGAGGAAAUGACUGAACAAGUGUGAAAUCCGAAUUGGGAGUAGUAAACGGCCGUUCUUCUCCAUCUUCGAGCUUCACACUUGUUCAGCCUUUUCGGAACUUUUCCGUUCUCUCGACUACGGUGCAGUAAGAACCAGGGUGUCAAAAGAACUGGGUAGUCCUGGACAUGUGAUGCUAGCCCACAUGUCCGUGACCCUAAGUCACUGAAGAACUCUGGUGCUUACAGCUAAAUAUAUUUGGCUUUAAAAUUAUUUAAAUUAUUAUCCCGCUCAAAUUAAAAUCUAAAGGGCUGAGGUAGGAUAGAGUAAGGUCCUGGAAUGUAACUAAAGCUUGCAAGUCCGUGCCCUGAAAAACCACCCAGCCCUUUACUAACGUUUAAUCUUAGAACAAGAACGUUUAUAGUGCUUGUAAUUUAUCAAUUUAGACUUUCAUAAUAUUUUUCUAGCUAAGGGGAAAAGCGUUUCUCUUGUGUUAGAUUAGUUAAGUGAUAGUUGCAUUGUGAGAAUGUUAACGAUGUUAUUUUAAAUUUGAACUAAACUUUAAUCGGUUUCUUAAGAUUAGCUUCUAAAGUCUUGAUAUCUGUACGAAUAAGAAUUUUUUGACACAGAAAUUAUUAAUUUAAAAUAUAGUUUUGAAGAUUCUGGGAGCAAUGUAAAGCAACCAUUCAUGAAAGCACAUGUGUACAAUGAACUUCGUAAGCUGUAUAAAUCUGUUAUGAACAGCUGUAUAAAGCUGUAUAAGCUGUAUAAAUCUGUAUCGAAUUUGAACUGUAUCGAAGAGAACAAAUCCUCCUUAAUGUUCAGAAUAUUAAAAUAAAUUGGAACCUGAACAAGAAUUUUCAACAAUUUUCAACAAUUUUUUUUCAACAAAAAAUUUUUUUCCUGAACAGAAUCAAUUUUUUAACGGAUGAAAACACCGAUGUCAAGAUAGGAAAAUGCUGCAAAAUAUAUAGUUAAAUUUAAAACUUGUUCGAUUUAAAGAGUAUUCAAAGUGUUUACCAUUAUUUUUAUAGAUUGAUUUAUACUUCUGAUCGUUUCAUUUCUAAAUUAAAACUGAACUGGACUUCUAUCUUUGUUUGCUUUCUUUUGAUUUUUGUUAAAAUCAACAUCUUUUGGAAUUGAUAAAAGAGUUAAAAUAUGAAUAAAAAUUAAAGCGCAAAAUAAAAAUUUAUAAUAUGUAAGCCAAUGAAGCAUUUUCUGAUAACAUUCUGAUAACAUAAAAAGUACUUAUUAUAUUUAAUAUUGUAUAUAUAUACUAAUACACUACUUACUAGUAUGCUACAAAUAUAUAAUAUAUACUAACUAUACUAUAACUUGUAUUUAACUAAUCUAUUGUGAUACGUUUAUUACUGCAGAUAUUCUAAUAUUGUUCAAUGAUUUAAUUUAUCUCAAACAAUAUUAGUUUUGAAUAUAGGUUUUAUCUGCCUUAUUAUUGGAUUAGAUUAUGCUUAAUUCAGCCUUUUUUUGUGCAUCGGUACUGCUUCUGUCUCUGGUAUUUUUCAGAAUCUUCUUCUUGAUAUGCUGCUGAUGUGAACACGCUUUGGGGAGCUGAAAUUGCAAAAGAUGAAUUGUUUCGAAUAAAGCAUCUGACUAAUCUCUGAAAAGUUGAAGGUCUUUUCAAAUAAGUUGCUGCCUACUUCCAAUUAACUUGCUGGCCUAGUAGCAGAGAAUGAAUUUUGCGCCAUUCUCCAGAUUCAAGUGUUGCCGAGAUUAAACAUGAAAUUGAAAGGGCCAUUUGUUUGUCAAAUGAGAUGAGACUGAUCUGUUCCUCGAAGAUGAUUUCAUUCCCAAAGAUGUGGUUAGAAUCUCAGAAUUUUGUGAUCUACGUAAAAUAUCCUGGUUCGUGCGUUAAAAUCACCAUACCGUCGAGCUAACCGUGGAAGGUUUUCAUGGUUCCCUCUCCAUGUAACGCAAAUGCGGGUUAGUUGCAGCGUAAGUCCUCCAUGAAGGCUAUUUCGAUCCAGGAGUUCUCUCGUCUUCUGGUUUCAAGUGUGCGAUCUUAUGGAGCUGAACAGUCAUAAUUGUAAACCCAGAAAUGAGUAUGCCAUCCAACCCUGGUUGAGCAGUAAAUUAAAUUCAGUUGGAUAUCUCUUUUUGCACUAAGCAAACUUGUUGGAAAGUUUUCGAGAACAGACUUCCGUGGUUCCUACUCUAAACCCUGCAAUGACAAUUAACGCCUUUCGAAUUUUUCAAGCUGGCAUUGUAGAUGUUGUUCAAUUUUGUUAUUUAUGUAAGACUUCUUUUACAUAAUGCAUAGUUACAUGCAAUUCUGUGUCUUGUUCUACUCUUAUUAGCCAUGAAUAAAUAGCUUAUUCUUGA